Molecule: ribosomal RNA, 542 nt
Filed under: Bifidobacterium catenulatum
Lineage: Bacteria; Bacillati; Actinomycetota; Actinomycetes; Bifidobacteriales; Bifidobacteriaceae
Also listed under: 1 other name
Description: bacterial SSU rRNA
Rfam family: Bacterial small subunit ribosomal RNA
Source: RNAcentral
UCUCCUGGAAACGGGUGGUAAUGCCGGAUGCUCCGACUCCUCGCAUGGGGUGUCGGGAAAGAUUUCAUCGGUAUGGGAUGGGGUCGCGUCCUAUCAGGUAGUCGGCGGGGUAACGGCCCACCGAGCCUACGACGGGUAGCCGGCCUGAGAGGGCGACCGGCCACAUUGGGACUGAGAUACGGCCCAGACUCCUACGGGAGGCAGCAGUGGGGAAUAUUGCACAAUGGGCGCAAGCCUGAUGCAGCGACGCCGCGUGCGGGAUGACGGCCUUCGGGUUGUAAACCGCUUUUGAUCGGGAGCAAGCCUUCGGGUGAGUGUACCUUUCGAAUAAGCACCGGCUAACUACGUGCCAGCAGCCGCGGUAAUACGUAGGGUGCAAGCGUUAUCCGGAAUUAUUGGGCGUAAAGGGCUCGUAGGCGGUUCGUCGCGUCCGGUGUGAAAGUCCAUCGCUUAACGGUGGAUCUGCGCCGGGUACGGGCGGGCUGGAGUGCGGUAGGGGAGACUGGAAUUCCCGGUGUAACGGUGGAAUGUGUAGAUAUCGG